Molecule: long non-coding RNA, 1015 nt
Filed under: Mus musculus (house mouse)
Lineage: Eukaryota; Metazoa; Chordata; Mammalia; Rodentia; Muridae
Description: long non-coding RNA chr9:20687817-20688832
Source: RNAcentral
ACAGAGCAAGUUCCAGGACAGCCAAGGCUACACAGAGAAACCCUGUCUGGAAAGAGAAACAAACCAAACCAAACCAACAAACAAGCUGAACAAGCCAUGAGUAACAAGCCAGCAAGGAGCGAUGCUCUGUGGUCUCCCUUCAGUUCCUGCCUCCAGGUUUCUACCCUGAGUGCCUGCCCUGACUCCCCAUGGAUUAGUCAAAUAAAUCUAUCCAAUCAAAGUUGUAGUCGUGCUACCACAGCAUGACUGAAUCAAAACUAAUACACUUGGGUGGUGAAUGUAACACAAAUGGAGCCAGUGGACUGAGCAGCGUGGCCAUUGCUCUCGGCUGUGAUUGUGGCAGCCACAUGACGGGUUGCAUUAGCUCUUGUUGGUUUGACCUCCCUGCAAUGAGGGACUGUAUCCCUGAACUAUGAGUCAGAAUAUGUGGUUUUGCCAGGCACUUGGGAAGCAGAGGCAGGUGGAUCUUUGUGAGUUUGAAGCCAGCCUGAUCUACAGAGAGUGAGUUCCAGGAUAGUCAAGGCUAUGUAGAGAAACUCUGCCUCAAAACAAACAAACAAAGAAAAACAAAAACAAAAAAGACUAUGUGUUUUAUUUAAAUUAUUUUAUUUUUGUUUUGUUUUGUUUUAUUUUAUUUUAUGGUGUUUCCCUCCAUGUAUGUCUGUACCAUAUGCAUACGGUACCCACAGAGACCAGAAGACAAUGUUGGAUCCCCUGGGACUGGAGUUAUAGAUAGUUGUGAGCUUCCAUGUGUCAGAUCCUCUGGAAGAGCCUUGUGUUUUAACCACUGAGCUAUCUCUUCAGUCCUGUUGCUUGGCUGUCAUUGUAGUGAAGGACAUGUGUGCCACAGCAUGCAUGUGAAGGUCAUAGGACACUCUAUGGAGUCUGAUCUCUUUCCACCUUCAUGUAGGUUCCAGGAAUCUAACUCAGAUCCCCAAGUUUGAACAGCAAGCCCCUUUGCCAGCUGAGCCCUCUCACUGGCCCUCUGUGUGAGCCAGAAUAAAUCCUUUGUGUC